RNAcentral lists this long non-coding RNA (15641 nucleotides) under Capsicum annuum. RNAcentral's name for it is "long non-coding RNA (CANN_LNC018449)". The record is from RNAcentral. Lineage: Eukaryota; Viridiplantae; Streptophyta; Magnoliopsida; Solanales; Solanaceae.
AAACCACACAAAACAUAUAAGACAAUCAAACAAACAAACAAAACAAAACAAAACCAAAAUAAAGUGUCCAGUCCAAUUAUAGUCCAAAAUAAAAGGUACGGAAAUGUAAACCUAUACUAAUCCUAAACUACACUCUAAUGCUUUACCCGAUGCCUCGGGCCUUGAUGACGAACCUCCUUUGCAUACAUGAUACUUCGGGGCAUUCCCCGGACAAAUCAAUACAAAUUCCUUGGGGCAUUCCCCAGCCAAAUGAGUACAAUUGAUCCAAAUACGAUAAACAAAAUCACUUAACAAGUAUUCCAAGCCUUCCACAAUCCACAAGUUAUAAAUUUUCCUUCCCGAGCCUACCAUUUACCUACCCCUCUCGACCUAUUAUGGCAUCAUUACAUUCAACGACAUCAAUGAAUCAAAACAACAAAAGCUUGGUUUUUAUCAAUUUUCAACUUUCGUCCCAACUUACUUCCAAUUGAGUUUAACUCAUUCCCUUAUUCAAUUUAAACAAUCAAACAAUCAAUAUUAACGACCUCAUAUGAUGAUCCAAGCAAAUCAAAAUCAACAAAAGAAAAUUGUACACACGAUGAGUUUUACCACACAAACUAUCACAUAAAUUAAAAUUAACAUGAGAUGAGAAAUGAACCUUUACUCAAUUGAAAAUCCUCUUUGGAUUGAAAAUCUUCAUUUACUGUAAUUUCACCAUACUCGAAGAAACUGAAUGAGUCACUUUUGACGAGAGAAACAGAUUUCAACCGGAAACCUUGACCAAGACUCGAAUUCGAAUGACACCGCAAACUAAGGAUCCAAUUGUUCCGAUUCUAUUCUGAAAUAGAGUACCAUCCAUCCAACCGAUAAAAUAUGCAUUUAGAGUGGUUUUCCAGUGGGUUUCAAACUGAAUUAAUAGAGGAUGAGGCUGUUUUCCAAUGGAUACUCAGCGAAAAGGGGGACGGAAUGGCUGUUGGCCGUGAUUUGGUCAGAAAAUUAGAGAAAAGGGGUAGAGCUAGUAGUCAUUGAAAAAAAUGCAGUGGGUUUUCGAGCUAAAAGGUGUUUCCUCGGUGGGUUCCGGCGAGACUCCGGCGGUGGGUGAUAGGUUUUUGCUGGAUUUUGAGAGAAACGGAUCGGGUUUAGGUGAUGGCGAGUUAUUUGCUAGAUUUUCGGAGAGAAACUCAUCGGAAAAUUCUAUGAAAACUCUUUCGAUCUCUGUUUCUUGUUUCUUCUCUCUCCCUCUAUCUUUCUUAGGGUAUGCGUGUUCAUGGUGUGUUUUGCUGUGAUUUGCGCAUGAAAAGAAAAAUGGAGCAGACUCCCCAGUUUUGGUUUCUCCCCAGCCUGUCUUCUCUCUUUGUCUAUAAAAAUAGUGUGUUCUUGUGCGAGUGUGUUUAUGGUGAGGAUGAAAAAGGAAAAUAGAGUAUCUUUUCCUUCAAAAGAAAGGACCCCCUUCCCAAAAAUGGAAAAUCUCCCCUUUUAUCCAUGGUCCUCCUUUUUAUUUUUGUUUUCUUCUUUUCUUUUUUAUUAUUAUUCUAAAUGUGUGCAUAUUAUUAGUGGCUUGUGGAAAAAAUCAGUAUGACGUGUGCUUUUUAUAUGUAUUCAAUGAAAAAUAAGGAGUGAGGUGUUGAGGUGGCAUGGUGAGGUGUCAAUUCUUUAUAGAUUUGGUUAUUUUUUUUGUCCUAUUUUUUAAAAAGUUAUUGAAUAGGGUAGGGUGAGUAAUAAAAUGGAAGAAGAUGAUAAAAAUAAUUUUUAACAGGACAAAAUUACGUGUCUACAUUAUGCCUCCUAUGUAUGUAAAGGUGUUUUCAUACAAAGAAAUAGACAACUAGAUAAAAUUUUAGCCCGGUCAUUAUUCAAAAUGAUGGAACAAAAGGAAAGAGGGCCACUGAGUCUAUAUCCGGACAUCCUAUCUACCCAUGUUAUGAGAGAAACCAGACACAGAUAUCACCAGGAAAAGGAGAAAGACUAUACCGAGUUGGAGAGUCGAGUGAGGUUUCAUCGAGGUUCUGGUCUGCGGCUAUGUCAUUACUUCAGGAAAAAAAAGAAAAAUUACAAGUUAAAACAUCAAUGAAAUUACAAAAAUCCCAUGUAUGUAACUUAUUUUGGACUUCUUGACUUGAGUUUCAUCACCCUAUUCUUCAGGCGGGCUCCUGACUUGUAAUUUUUUCAACUUUUUUCUUGGCUUUCAAUUUCUUCACUUUGUUGCUUUGACUUUCCAUUUAUUCACCCUGCUCUUUAGGUAGGUUUCGGACUUGUCAUUUCAUAACCCUGUUCUUCAGGUGGGAACCUGACUUUCAAUUUCAUUACCUUGUUGUUUAACUUUAAAUUUCAUCACCUUUGUUCUUUAAGCGGGCUCCUGACUUUCAAUUUUCAUCACUCUGUUCUCCAGGCGAGCUCCCGACUUUUAAUUUCAUCACCCUGUUCUUCAGGCGGGCUCCUUACUUGAAAUUUCAUCACUCUAUUCUUUGGGUGAGCUCCUGACUUUUAAUUAUAUCACCCUGUUCUUCAGGCGGGCUCCUGACUUGUAAUUUCAUCACUCUGUUCUCCGGGUGAGCUCCUGACUUUCCAUUUAUCACUCUUUUCUUCAGGCGGGCUCCUGACUUUUAAUUUUCAUCACUCUGUUCUUCGGGAGAGCUCUCGACUUUUAAUUUCAUCACCUUGUUCUUUGGCGGGCUCCUGACUUGUAAUUUCAUCACUCUGCUCUCCGGGCGAGCUCCCGACUUUUAAUUUGAUCACCCUAUUCUUCAGGUGGGGUCCUGACUUGCAAUUUCAUCACUCUAUUCUCCGGGCGAAAUUCUAACUUUCAAUUUCAUCACCCCUAUUCUUCAAGUGGGCUCCUAACUUAUAACUUCAUCACCCUGUUCUUCAGGCAGGCUCCUGGAACCAAAAUCAAAACUAGAACGAAAAUUAUCCCAAACAAAGAUUAUGAUAUAGAAAGAUUUCAUUUAUUCAUUUUUUAUGAAAGUAAUGUCCCAUUUUUCAGGAGGGUCCUGAACAUAAAGCAAUGUCCCAUUUUCCAGGAGGGUCCUGAACAUAAAGUAAAUUCCCAUUUUCUAGGAGGGUUCUGAACAUAAAGUAAACUCCUAUUUUUCAGGAGGGUCCUGAACAUAAAGUAAAUUCCCAUUUUUAGGAGGAUCUUGAACAUAACUCUCAUUUUCUAGGAGGGUCCUGAACAUAAGGUAAAUUCUUAUUUUUUAGGAGGGUUUUGAACAUAAAGUAAAUUCUCAUUUUCUAGGAGGGUCCUGAAGUAAAGUUCUUGAUAACAGGCAUUAAAUUUUUGUUUUUGCCGCAGUUUAUCAUCAAAAGCUUUUGUGGGUGUCAUACCAAAUCAUAACUACUUGCAACAGUGCGUAAUGCAAAGAUAAAUCCAGAUCCUGAUCAACAAAUUCUCGUUUUGAGGGUAAUGUUAAAUAACUGAGGCCAAUAACUCCUUCUCUUAAGAAUGAAAGUGAAAGGUUCUUGCUAAAAGUGCAUUUUUUAAGAAUUAAUGAUUCAAAUUAGGAAGUGCACCUCCUAGCCGUGAGACAUGAAAGAACCAAAUUAGAGAAUUUGUCUCUAAGGUGUACAAGAUGAUGAGUUUUACCACCAUUACGAUUACCAAACCCGUACAACAACAUUGCUUUUACAUUUGUAAAAAUGAGGAAUUGCACCUCUGGAUAUUUGCGCUUUGAAGCCUUUGAUUUGAAGGCAGCAGUUGUUCCUAUUUUAUACAAAGGAAACUUAUGAGUUUAAAAUAGGAUGGUUGGCUUGCGGCUUUGGGUUUUUGGCGAUUUCUCUUGCACUUGUCUAAUUAACCUUGCUUCCAACCAUUAUCAUAUAUCGUUGACUUGAUGCAUCAUUGUCCUAAACCCAGAUUAGUAAGAGUGACUCUGAAACAAACAUAAUAUCUCUGCUUUUCCAGGUUUCUCAGUUACCCUUUGAACCCUGGUAUUUCAAUGAGUUCCCAGACUUGUCUGUUGACAAAACUUUCUGCUUGCCUUAUUUCGGCUCACAAUCAUGUCUCUUUCAUAUACUGGCCUUUUGACUUGCUUUGUGCAAUUGAAGAAGCUAGUAGUCAGUUUCAAAAUUCUUUCUCACUUAUUUUGACAUGGACUUGACUCAAAGACAAAAAAAAAUGACAAUGAUUUUUUUAUUUGGAUAGCUGACUCAAGAAAAUAAAAUGAAAACAUAAAGAAGAAAGAAAAGACAAUGAACGUCCCCAUUUGAAAUAAAGAAACGAAGAAUUUAUCUAAAAAUGACAGUCAACUCUAAUGAUUAUGCCAUGCAUUUUGGAUUAAUUUGCCUGAUCUUUCCAUCCACACUUUCUUCCGGUUGUUGUUGAGUCAAAGUCCUUGAAACUGAGUUAUUUCCUUAGGUCAAUUGCAUUUAAGACCUCAUUUGGCUAGUGACACCUUGAAGGAUUUUUGCCAACAAGCCUCUUUUAUUUUUCUCUCAGCUCGCCACUGUCUUAUGGUGUCCGUGAGGGUUUUUCACCAAUAAGACUCUCUCAUUUUUAUAUCUCUCAACUUACCAUCGCCUUACGGUGCCCGUGAGAGUUUUCACCAAUAAGGAUCUCUUAUUUUUGUUUCUCUCUUGAUUCCUUAUGCUGAGGAAGACAAAUAGUUCCCUAAAUCCAUCCUCAUAUCCAUUGCAUACUUAGCCUUAACAUCUUUAAAGAUUGAUCUGAGGGUUUAUCUUUGGUUGUAACUCGGCUUUUGGAUAAGGAAGAAAAAAAGGAUGGCAUGAGGCUCAAACAACACUUAAAGUGGGGUAGGACUUACAACUUUUGAAAUCGACUCAAAUAAUAAAGAUUAACUCAUGCCCUAGUUUUUUUUGACUGGGCAAUUCUAAAUUGUUCAUUUGGUUGGACCAAGCCCAGUGUAGGGCAUCCUACGUAUCUCACCCCCAAGAGAGGAGAAUCAGGUCAUGCAUAGUUCUGACAACUUGUUCUUUUGCUUGAUUCUGACUUUUGUUUUCUUUUUUUCUUUUAGGACAUUUUGACUAUUUUUUUUUCUUGACACUCUUUGCUUUUCUUUCCUUUUGGACACAUUUUCUCUCUUUUUUUUUUGAAACUUUUCUGACUCUAUUCCUUUGCUUGACACUUAUCUUUUGAGCUUUGUUGACUCUAUCUUGAUUUCAAAAAAAGGGUAUGAAAUAAAAUAGAAUUAAAGCUCAAAUGGGGUAAACAAAGGAUGACACGGUGUUUGGAUAGCCGAAUGAAAUGCCUUCGUCAUAUCAAUCCUUGAAAAUAUAAGUACAUAUCAUGCAAUAUGAAAUAAAAAAUGAAGAUUAUUUGUGACACUUUUUACAACACUAACUUAACUGAUCUUGUGCAUCACUGCUUCUUCUACAAUUGUCAAACAUACAACUCCACCUUUUGUUGUACAUCCCUCACAUUGAGUGACUCAUGCCUUCGUGGAAUUAAUUUUCUUUCUGUUCUUCUUGAUAUAGGAUCACACAUUUUCUUACCUAAUUGAGAUAUGUCUUUCAAUUGACGACCAAGUUAUUCUUGUAAUUCUCAAAAUAUUUACCUUAAUUUUGAAAGAAGGCUUUAACAUGGUCACCAAAUGUGUCAAUACUCUAUCAAUAUCUCAAAAGCCUUUUUUUCUAAUUCUAACCCCCUAAUUCAAAGUUCAUGCUCAAAUUAGACUUUAAGAUCUAGUGGAAAAUUCUGCAAACAUGUCAUAUCACUAGAGCCAACAUAAAAUAAACUAUGUAAAGAAAACAAAUAAACAACACAUAUUUAAAAUACAAAGGAAAAAGGGAUAUUCUAUUUAGUUAAAAUAAAAGAUAUAAAGGGUUUAACAUGAACGACAAAGGGACAAAACAACAUGGAUCCCGAACUACAACCCUAAAAUAAUUUAGAAAAUAGAAAAAAAAAAUGAAACGCACUGCCAGACAUCUUCCUAGUAGGGAGAGGGGUGACUUCUUAAUUUCUCAGCCUGGCAACUUAGCCACUGGUUUGCAUAUCAGCAUAAAUAGAGCUUAUCUCACUGUCAAUGUUCUACACCAUAAUUUCUCUUUUCAAAUCUCGACAAUCUUCAAUACUAUAACCCUGAGCAUCAGAAUGAUAGCACAUCAUGCAUUAGGAUCAAAAUUUCUUGAAUGGGGAUUAAGAGUGUGCCCAGGGAGAGGACUGAUAAUGCCCCAUUGUACCAAUCUCUAAAAUAAAUUGACAUAUGACUUUUCAAUUGGUGUGAAUCUAUCUUUCGACUUCUGCCUCAUUUCAUUAUUUGGAUUGGAUAAAAAAUGGGGCCUAGAAGGACUUUGGUAUGUUUGUAGAGUUAGAGGAUGACUUUGGGGAGUUGGUGCGUGCCAUUGUGAGUAAGAAGGGAGUUGAACAUAUGGUUGUGUGUAAUAUACUAGAUAUGGAGGUGGGAAAAUGAAGUAUAAUGGAUUUUGGUAGUGAUUAUAGAGAGCUUGUGUAUGAACUUGGGCUUGAGACUAACAGUAACGACGAUAUCGCUUUCUUGGAUGUGCCAGUUCUCCAACUACAUUGGCAGUUGCAUAUUUCUCAUUCUUCUUUCCUCCAAUUUCCCUUAAUUGAUUGCAAUAUUAUCCUAAAUGUUUCACGAAUUCCCCAUGUCUACUUGCUCCUCAAAUUUCGACAUCUCAAGGAUUGGAGGGGGGUUAACACUUGAUGACAUGCCCCAGUAUUUGUAUGUAACAUCUUCUUUACCCACAAGUCCUAGAGAACUUUUCAUAGCAUUUUCUGCACUUUUUAUCUUUCCAACCAUUUUCUUUGACUCUUUUGGCACACUAGGCUUCUUGUUAAGAAAUUUUGGUGGUCUAGUUAACUUAAAAGUAGGCUCAGGAGUAUAACAAUGAUCACCAAGAGUAUUGGACAUGGGUCCACUAGCAGAUUGGGCAGCACAACCAUUGAAUUGAUAGACAAAGUGGAAGCCUCAGUAAAAGGUUAAGCAAUAAAAGCACAGGCAGUAUGUGGUGCUGUCAAUGUAGCAGGCUUAUACUGAGAAGCUAUAGGAAGAGUGGUAGAACUAUCGAGAUGUUGUUGGCUUGGAAGGAAUUUUGAGUUACGUUGUAGUGCAUCAAUAACAAUAGGAAACUGACUUUACUAUUUAGAUGGAAAACUUGAGGUAUUUGUAUGAUCAAUAACAGAAAAUAGAGGGCAAGGCAACCCACUGGCCCAAGAUCGAUACAUUUUCAUCAUUUGUUGUCUUAGUCUCAAAUUUUCUUCUUUUAAACUCUUAUUUUCCUGCCACUUUGUUUGAUCCAUGAGGUCACUCUCCUAUCCUUGUUGGACACAGCUAAACCUUCCUUAGAUUUGGUGUGAAGUGAAGGACUAGCUACAAUGCCACAAACCAACCUCCUUAAACUAACUAAAUCAACAGAAAACAAAUGCAUUAGAGUUCAACAUUUUUUUCAAAUCCUUUUUUAUCUUUUUCAAAAGAUCACCGAACCCAAGAAAAUCGUCUACGUAUCUCACUCCUGAGAGAGGAGACUCAAGUGUGCAUAGUUCGUGAAGUCUUGCCAAAAUGGUCAAUGAAAUUCUUUUUCUUUUAUUUUUAUUUUUCAUGAAACUUUAAGAAGAAAAGAAAAUAACAAUUUCUCAAAAGAAUUUACGAAAAUCCUUUUGAAUUUUUUAGCUUUAACAUCUCUAUACUAAAUGAAAUCUAUGAUUACCAAAGAAAAAUCUUUUUGGGUUUUCAAUUUUGAAUUUUGUACGAAAAAAAAAUUUAAACCUAUUAAAGGAAAAUCUUUUUGUAGUUUUUUUCUUGUAAAGAUGUAUAUGAAACACCUACUCUAAAUGAAGAGUGAAGAAAAUCUUUUUGAAUUUUUUUUCAGAUUCCUAUACAAAAUGAAACCAAUGAUAACCAAAGAAAAAUCUUUUUGGAUUUUCAAUUUUGAAUUUCAUACAAAAAUAAAACUUGAAAAUAUUAACGAAAAAUAUUUUUUGUGGUUUUCUUUUAGAGAUAUAUAAGACACUUACUCUAAUAAAGAGUAAAGAAAAUCUUUUUUGAAUUUUUUAAAUAAGAUCCCCGAACCUGGAAAGAUUGCCUACAUAUCUCACUCCCGAGAGAGGAGAAUCAGGGGUGCAUAGUUCGUCCAGAUUGGACAAUUGAGGAUUAAAUAUCAAACUAAACCUUGACUUAGGAGACAUUACCAAAGACAAACGAUGAAAAACGUGAAAUCUUUUUGGGGAUUUUAAUUUGACACUUUACAUAAAAAUGACACCAACAACUAUGAAAGAAAAAUCUUUUUGGUAUUUUCGUUAUAUGAAAUGAACAAAAUUCUACCAUCUUUUUUUGAAUUUUUAUUUUAUAAAAUACUCCUAAAUUUUAUUUUAUUUUUGGAGUUUUCGAAUUGUGAAUGCUUGCCAAAGGAAACAAAAGGAAAAUCUUUUUGAUGUUUUUGAUAUUUGGGAAAUGAGUACAAAAAAGUAAAUAAAAUCUUUUUGAAUUUUGUUAUUUUGAGAAAAUAAAUGCAAACGAUAAAAAAAAAUCUUUUUUGAAUUUUUGGGUUGUGAAGAACAAAAGCCAUAAAGAACUCAAAAAAUAAACUAUGAAACUCUUUUUUGAUUCACCCUUUUUCUCUCUUUUUUUUUUUUCAAUUUUGCAUUGCCUACUCACUUUACUUCUAACACAUGCUUUCCCUCACAUCAGUCCAUCAAAUGACCAUGUUAUCCUCAGAGAUGCAACAUUUAGCACAUAGGAAUUCUUUAGAGGUGAGUCUCCUACAAAGGACCAAAUGAGACUCGCUAGGUCUCAAUAUGAUGCACAUAAACAUGACCUAAAGGCUGACCUAUGUUGGGAUCCACUAACAAGGCCGUUCAGGGGAUGAUAUGAUCGAUAGUGGUUGCUUUGCUUUCCACCUACUCCAUACAUUCGAUGGAUCCCCCUCCUAAAAUAAGGGUGACUCAGCUAGAGUUCGUGUACACAAUUUGUACUUUGAAACUUGUUGCAGAAAGAAUGACUCGAGUUAUGCACAUAAUGCCAAAUAUAAAGCGGUAACACACAAGCGAAAAACUGUAAACACGCAGCACGUAGGCACUCAAUAAUGAUAAAAUAAACAAAAAAUGAUAACAUAAGCAAUGUUUAUACUCCCAUAAUGUCAAACUAAGCUGAUACAACUCCAAAAUUAAGCUCGAAUUCUGAAAAAUCCCCAGUAAAGUCGCCAGAGCUGGCACACCUUUUUUUUUUAACUCCAAAAAAAUAUUUAUUUUAUGUUCGAAAGGGUUUUUAUUAAUAGACAAAAGAUGAAAAUUUAUUUCGAAAAAGGAUUUAUUUUCUUUCAAUUAAAUUCAGAGUCACCAUUUGUCAUAAAUCGGGUGUGUAAAGUCAUGAUAACGCACAACUUACACGUCAAUUUAGUUCAAGGCAGCCAUCAUCGAUAUAUUUACCCAACUUUUGGAGUCGGGGUCGAAUCCACAUGGAACAAUGUGAGUGAUGAUUAAACUAAUUUAAAACUAUAGCUACAAGUUUAAUUCAAACAGAUGAUAUGAAAAGAUAAAAUGGGGGUUUUGGAGAUUAGAAAAUAAUUGUUGGUCACUUUAGUUUCAGUGUUUGUAAUCUAGAGUUUAUGAAAACCAAAGUUAUGUCCACUAUGGGUGUUGGGAUUUGAUAGACGCUAGUAAUGAUUCAAGAUUCUUGCGAUAGGUAGGAGCAAUAGAUUAUCCUUGUUGAAUUUAUGCCUAAAUAUCUCUCGACCUACUUAAGCAUUUAACUACCUAAUUCUCUCAAACUUAGGGAGUUUAUAUUUCAUAACAGGAUGUUAUCUCUGGUUAAUUAAUCUUGCUACAACAUUACUUAUUAAACGGAGGGUUGGUAGCUUCCAAGUCCCUGUUGAUACUUCUCUUCUUACUAUGGUUGAUUUCUUAGUUCAAGAAAAUCACUAGUAAGCAGGACCUAUUGUUUGCAACCAAUAGAUAAAGUGUAAAGCAGAGGGAUUACCAAAAAGUUACUACCACCAUUAGAAUCAUGAACACUUAGUUGCAUUACAAACCCAAACUCAUAGAUCCCAUAACUCGGGUUAAGGGGUUUAGCUACUCAUACUGUAAAGCGCAAUAUAGCUUGUUGAAUUCAUAAUGCUAUGGAAUAAUACUUAUAGCAAAAGUGAAUAACAAUAGUUGUAUCUCGGAUUAAAUUGCAUUAGAAAAAUCUCGAAAAAUAAUAUGACAAUCUCUCAAAAGCUAACUGUAAACUUGUAUAAAAAACUAGAGAUCAACACGUGAAGUUCAAGUCCAGAAUGUCGAGUAUCAACCCCCAAAAAAACCCUAAACAAUUCUUCAAAUAGUUCACCAUAAUUAUGGAAAUAGAACCACAGAGUUUAGUAAUUUCUCGGGUAGGUGAUGACAUUUUGUGAUGCCUUAUCAGGAGUCUGACGACUUAUCACAGAUGUAGCCAGCUCCUCUUCACUUUUGACAUUCACUGCCUUAGGCUGACGAUAAAGCGUGAUGGCUUAUCAGAUCUUUGAUGACUUAUCACAGAUGUCGUCGAUGAUUUACUUCAGCUCUCAUGUUCUACCUUAAGCUAACGACGAUCUUGACGGCUUAUCAUAACUUCGAUGGCUUAUCACAUAUCAUCGUCACUUCUUCCAGCUGAAUCCCAUUCUCUAUUUAAAGCUGAUGAUGAAGUUGAUAACUUAUUAGAGUGCUGACGACUUAUCAGGAAUGUCAUCAGCCAUACUUCUCUUUUAUUUUCUUCAGAUUUUAACUCGUUUACUUCCAUCAUUGUUGGUUCUCUUGCAUCUUGACUUCCACUACAAAAUCAAAAAUAAAACAAUAAAAAACAACAAAAAUUACUUAAGACUUUGCGAUUAUUCUUAGUUAAAAGCCUCAAAUGUGUUAGCAUCUGCUCGCACAUCAACACCUUCAACUUAAAAUAAUUACUUGUCCUCAAGAAACUAAAACACCAUACUACGAUGCUUAACUAAGAGACACAUAAGAUACUUAUGACAAUUGAUUAUCAAGUUUAGCUCAAAACACAUUACCCUCUCUAUUUUCAAUCACUUUAAACCCAACUAUGUAAUAAAUGAAGAUCAAUAAUGUGACACAAGGGAAUCAGGAUAUGACAUCAAAUUAGCAACAAUAACCAUGCAUAUAUUCAAGUUACACUACCCAAACAUGUAAGAAGCUAGCAAUGCAAUCAAUGUGGCCUUACAACAAAGAAGUCCCUCUUCACUCAUAUAUGAAAUCAAGUAUGUCAAUGAGGGGACGGUCAAGAGACACUCACUCUCAAAAAGAAGUUCCAGUCAAUGUAUGCCAAAUACCAUAAGCUUGCCCUUAUUUUCAUUAAGAAGCUUUUCGACAGCUUGUAAUGUAGGCUUGGGGAUGGUAUGAUGCACAAGGAUAUUUAAGGUAACUAAGCCUCCUCGGCACUACAAUAUUUAUGGGGUCUCACUUAUCAACCUUUACCUUAUUUCUCCCUUUCUUGAUUAAGCAAAUUCAGGAUGGGGUUGAUAAUUUCGUCAUUCAUUUUCUUUUUUUCAUAACUUUUCUUUUCUCAUUCUUUUUCUACCACACCCAACCUUGCAUAUAUAUUUUUUUUAAUACCCUUCUUCAUACUCACUUUACAUCACUCACCCCUAUGAUAGCCCCCCUUAACUUAGGCUAUUUGCCUAAGUCAAAGUGAUCAAUAUCCAAGAAAGACCAAGGCAAAACAGGUUUAUUGUGAUACAAAUGGGAAGAUGAUAGGUAUAAUAAAAUGAAUAGGAAUUCAGGCUCAAAAUCAAGAUCAAGAGAUAUUAUUCACACAUGGAGGGUCAUUUAGGCUAAAAGUGGACUAAUAUCAACAACGGCCUUUGAUCCUUUCCUAAUUUCUAUCCUACAACCAAGGCAAGACAAACCAGGCAAGUUCUGGCUUUAACACACAACGGGAACUAGGUAGUAUCUCACACAGACAUGGCACAAAGGUACAUCAUAAGCUACUAUCCAUUCGGUUCAUGCAAUUGUUAGUAGUGAUUGUCAUGUCCCUAGUAUUAAUGUCAUAAAAAGAUUCACAGUAGUCACAUAUAGAUGCACAACACACAGUUACCAGAUAGACAAUUGGAGAGGUAUUUAUCAUUCCAAGAAACACAACAAAAAUAUGUCAACUGUCCUAGAUACUUAUUUUUCCCCCAAUUAACCACAACGCAUCAUAAAACAAACAAAAUAAGCCUAAACAUGCUGGCUCUACUAGGAAUAAGACUUCGGGGAAAAGAGGCACAACAACAAAAACCCCAAGAGGACAUCAACACCCACAAGUAGUCUCCCCUCAACAUAUAAUCAUACAUUGUCCCCAAUGCGUCAAGCCAAAACAAGAGAGUCAGAAAUAUACCUAUGGCACCAUGAGUGCAAAGAUCUGAUGUCAAUCAUAUAAUACGAAUACAAAUAAUAAAAUACCUUGGGUUGCCUCCCAAGAAGAGCCUAAUUUAGUCUCGUGGCACGACCCAACUCAGCUUUUCCCUCCACCUUGACGAUAUAAAUUUCACCCCAACUUAGAGUCCAUCUUCUUGCCUCAAUCAUAGGGGGUGGUACAAAAAUUAAGAAGUCGAGUAAUGGAUUGAGCGUGGUAAACCACUCAGCCUUAAAGUGAGGUGUGUUUUUAUAUUGCUUGUCUAAUGUAAAAUCAAGAAUAUAGGAUUCUUGUUCCUCAUCUUCACACUCUUCUACUAUUUUAAAUGAUUCUACAGAAAAGAUAUCAUCUAAACAUAAUAUAGAAAAGUGCUAACAAUGAGGCCCAAUAAAUCCUACUUCAAAAUUUACACUAUCUACUACACACUCACUUUUAUUCACCUUCUCAAUGUCAGUCUCAAAAUCAAGAUGAUAAUCGAGUGGUUGCAAUUCUUGAGUUUUCUCCUCAAAUUGGCUAAUGUCCUUCUCAUAUUCUUCUUUGUUUAGCCACUGUAAACAUGGUGGGAGUGGAAACUCCUUUAUCUCUGCCCACAACCGUUCUGGAUUCUCUAAAAUUCAUUUUCUCAAUUUGUUCACUUGAAUCGUGACUGCACACAUAUCUUUCGUAUGAUCACUUUGACAACAAGCCAAACACCAAGUUACAGUAAGUAGGACAGUAUCCACAUCAUAUUGUAAAGGUUCCGUCCAUGCACUUCCAGGUAAAUCUAGACAGCAAGCCUCAAAAUAUGGUCCCCCACAAUAAUAACAAGAAUCGUCAUCACUCAAAAAACCAUCUAUCCAGGAUGACAUCUCAAGAAAGGUGUGAGAAAAAUAAAAAUAAAAGAAAAUAAAAUAAAAAAAUAAACUGAAGAAAUAUUUACAAGUUGGAUUUCAAGAAAGUAAACUAAAAUUCUAAACCAACACAAUACACCAAAUUGUUCCCUGGCAACGGCGCCAUUUUUUAUAACGCUCAACUUACACAUCAAUUUAGUGCAAGGCGGUCGUUGUCAAUAUAUUUACCCAACUUUUGAAGUCGGGCUUGAAUCCACAGGGAACAAUGUGAGUGGCGAGUAAACUAAUUUGAAACUAUAGCUACAAGUUGAAUUCAAAUAGAUGAUACAAAAAGAUAAAAUGGGGGGUUUUGGAGAUUAGCAAAUAAUUGUUGGUCACUUUAGUUUUAGUGUUUGUAAUCAAGAGUUUAUGAAAAACCAGAGUUAUGUCCACUAUGGGUGUUGGAAUUUGACAGACACUACUAACGAUUCAAGAUUCUUGUGGUAGAUAGGAACAACAGAUUAUCCUUGAUGAAUUUAUGCCUAAAUGUCUCUCGACCUACUUGAGCAUUUAACUACCUAAUUCUCUCGAGCUUAGGGAGUUUAUAUUUCAUAACAGGAUGUUAUCUCAGGUUAAUUAAUCUUGCUACAUCAUUAAUUAUUAAACGGAAGGUUGGUAGCUUCCAAGUCCCUGUUCAUAAUUGGCUUCUUACUAGGGUUGAUUAAUUAGUUCAAGCAAAUCACUAGUAAGAAGGACCUAUUGUUUGCAACCAAUAGAUAAAGUGUAAAUAAGAGGUAUUACCAAGAAGUUACUACCACCGUUAGAAUCCCGAACACUUAGUUGCUUUACAAACCUAAACCCGUAGAUCCCAUAAAUCGGGUUAAGGGGCUUAGCUACUCAUAUUGUAUAGAGCAAUACAGCUAGUUGAAUUCGUAAUGCUAUGGAAUAAUACUUACAACAAAAGUGAAUAGUAAUAGUUGUAUCUCAGAUUAAAUUGCAGUAGAAAAAUCCCAAAAAAUAAUAUGAUAAUCUCUCAAAAGCGAACUGUAAACUUGUGUCAAAAACUAGAGAGCAACACGUGAAGUUCAAGUACAAAAUGUCGAGCACCAGCCCCAAGAAAACCCUAAACAAUACUUUAAAUAGUUCACCCUAAUUAUGAAAACAAAAUCACAGAGUUUAGUAAUUUCUCGAACAGGUGAUGACAUUUUGUGAUGCCUUAUCAGGAUCUGACAACUUAUCACAGAUGUCGUCAACUCCUCUUCGCUUUUGACAUUCGCUGCCUUAGGCUGAUGAUGAAGCGUGACGGCUUAUCAGAUUUUUGAUGACUUAUCACAGAUGUUGUCGAUGAUUUACUUCAGCUCUCAUGUUCUUCCUUAAGCUAACGAUGAUCUUGAAGGCUUAUCACAACUCCAACGACUUAUCACAUGUCGUCAUCACUUUUUCCAGCCGAAUUCCAUUCUCUGUUUAAGGCUGACGAUAAAGCUGAUAACUUAUCAGAGUGCUGAUGACUUAUCAGGAUUUUCGUCAGCUACACUUCUCUUCUAUUUGCUUCAGAUUUUAACUCUUUUACUUCCAUCAUUGUUGGUUCUCUUGCAUCUUGACUUUCACUGCAAAAUUAAAGAUAAAACAAUCAAAAAUGACAAAAGUUACUUAAGACUUUGCAAUUAUUCUUAGUUAAAAGCCUCAAAUGUAUUAGCAUCUGCUCACAUUUCAAGUCACCUUUGGAAAUUCUUUUUAAAACGAUUUGACUCUAAAAUUGAUCCGCGAACAAAGAUUCUGGUUAAGGAAUUCUGUUGACCGAGGGGGACGUAUUAGGUAUCCCUCAGUCCUGUGGUUCUACCACGGUCGCUUCAUGGAGUAUAUCAGCUAUUUUGACACUUCCAAUGUAUAAACCAGACAAAACACAUAAGACAAUCAAUCAAACAAACAAAACAAAAAAAAUCUAAAAUAUAGUGUCCAGUAUAAUUAUACAAUCCAAAAUAAAAAGUAUGAAAAUAUAAACCUACACUAAUCCUAAACUACGCUCCGAUACAUUACCCGAUGCCUAGAGCCUUGAUCACGAGCCUUCUUUGCAUACAUGAUACUUCGGGGCAUUCCCCGGACAUAUCAAUAUAAAUCCCUCGGGGUAUUCCCCAGCCAAAUGAGUACAAUUGAUCCAUGUGCGGUAAAAAAAAUCAUUCAACAAAUAUUCCAAACAUUUCAAAAUCCACAAGUUCUCAACUUUCGUCCCAACUUACUUCCAGUUGAGUUUAAAUCUUUCUAUUAUUCAAUUUAAACAAUCAAAUGAUCAAUAUUAACGACCUCAUAUGAUGAUCCAAGUAUAUCAAAAUCAACAAAAGCAAACUGCACACACAAUGAGUUUUACCACACAAAGUAUCACACAAAUUAAAAUUAACAUGAGAUGAGAAAUGGACCUUUACGCAAUUGAAAAUCCCUUUUGGAUUGAAAAUAUUCAUUCACCACCAUACUCGAAGCAACUGAAUGAGUCACUUUUGAUUGGAGAAGUAGAUUUUAAUCGAAAACCUCGACCAAGACUCAAAUUUGAAUGACGACUGCAAACUAAGGAUCCCAAUUGUUUUAA